AUUAAACGCUGGCGGCAUGCCUUACACAUGCAAGUCGAACGGCAGCACGGGGGCAACCCUGGUGGCGAGUGGCGGACGGGUGAGUAAUACAUCGGAACGUGCCCUGGAGUGGGGGAUAACGCAGCGAAAGCUACGCUAAUACCGCAUAUUCUGUGAGCAGGAAAGCAGGGGAUCGCAAGACCUUGCGCUUUGGGAGCGGCCGAUGUCGGAUUAGCUAGUUGGUGGGGUAAAGGCCUACCAAGGCGACGAUCCGUAGCGGGUCUGAGAGGAUGAUCCGCCACACUGGGACUGAGACACGGCCCAGACUCCUACGGGAGGCAGCAGUGGGGAAUUUUGGACAAUGGGCGGAAGCCUGAUCCAGCCAUGCCGCGUGAGUGAAGAAGGCCUU
This 388-nucleotide ribosomal RNA is filed under the name uncultured bacterium. RNAcentral describes it as "bacterial SSU rRNA". It matches the Rfam family "Bacterial small subunit ribosomal RNA", at positions 29 to 418 of the family's 1533-position model. The record is from RNAcentral.